CGCAGGUUCAUGCCUGAAAAAGGCACUCCUGAAUAUGAGGAGCUUAAAACCAACCCUGAUAAGGCUUUCCUUAAAACAGUCACUGCCCAGUUACAGACUGUUAUUGGCAUUUCCCUUAUAGAAAUUUUGUCAAGGCAUUCAUCAGAUGAAGUGUAUCUUGGGCAGCGAGACGCGCCUGGAUGGACAACAGAUGAUAAACCAUUAGAGGCCUUUGAGGAAUUUGGAAAGAAGCUGGAAAAAAUUGAGGAGAGGAUUAUACAGAUGAACAAAGAUGGGGAAUUGAAGAACCGUGUUGGACCAGUUAUGAUG
This 309-nucleotide unclassified non-coding RNA is filed under the name Hevea brasiliensis (rubber tree). Lineage: Eukaryota; Viridiplantae; Streptophyta; Magnoliopsida; Malpighiales; Euphorbiaceae. The record is from RNAcentral.